GAAGCCAACUGAGCAGGAGUACACACCCUCCUUUCCCUCUUGACUUUCUGUAAUCAGCUGCUUCAGGUUUUUGCUGUACUGACUUGCCCUCCAUGAUGGACUGUCCCAUUAUCUACUUCCAUAACAACAACCACUUCUCUACUCAAAAUGGAACUGACAAGCAUCACAAAUCAAAACAACAGGGAAGGAAACCCUAUUCUUGUUGAAUGACCGCACAGCUGAUGGGACUAUGAUUAUGGAGUUCUUUGUGGAUGUAACCAUGCAUAAGAAGUACCUUGAGAGUUCUCAUAAAAUAAAUAAAAACUCUUCUAAUCUCUUGUUCAAAGAUCAAUGCCACCUAUAAGUUGCUUCUGAGUCAGGGGUUGGGG
This 368-nucleotide small RNA is filed under the name Rattus norvegicus (Norway rat). Its description in RNAcentral is "uncharacterized LOC102553402". Lineage: Eukaryota; Metazoa; Chordata; Mammalia; Rodentia; Muridae. The record is from RNAcentral.